UCCCUCUUAGCUCAGUGGUAGAGCGCGUCACUAGUAUGCACAUGAUAGUUACCCAGUCUAACUAUGACGAGGUCAGUCGUUCAAGUCGGCUAGAGGGAA
Lyophyllum atratum is the source of this 99-nucleotide non-coding RNA. The record is from the annotation of a GenBank genome assembly. Lineage: Eukaryota; Fungi; Basidiomycota; Agaricomycetes; Agaricales; Lyophyllaceae.